Molecule: ribosomal RNA, 254 nt
Filed under: uncultured bacterium
Lineage: Bacteria
Description: partial 16S ribosomal RNA
Rfam family: Bacterial small subunit ribosomal RNA
Source: RNAcentral
UACGGGGGGGGUAAGCGUUGUUCGGAAUUACUGGGCGUAAAGGGCUCGUAGGCGGCCAACUAAGUCAGACGUGAAAUCCCCCGGCUUAACCAGGGAACUGCGUCUGAUACUGGAUGGCUUGAGUUUGGGAGAGGGAUGCGGAAUUCCAGGUGUAGCGGUGAAAUGCGUAGAUAUCUGGGGGAACACCGGUGGCGAAGGCGACAUCCUGGACCAACACUGACGCUGAGUGAGCGAAAGCCAGGGGAGCAAACGGG